CCAGCAGCCGCGGUAAUUCCAGCUCCAAUAGCGUAUACUAAAGUUGUUGCAGUUAAAAAGCUCGUAGUUGGAUUUCUGGCGGGGACGGCUGGUCGGUCUCGAAAGGGGCUGUACUGUUGUUGGUUCCCGUCAUCCUUGGGGAGAGCGGCUCUUACAUUAAGUUGUCGGCGUCGGGAUCCCUAUCUUUUACUGUGAAAAAAUUAGAGUGUUCAAAGCAGGCUUAGGCCCUGAAUACAUUAGCAUGGAAUAAUAAGAUACGACCUUGGUGGUCUAUUUUGUUGGUUUGCACGCCAAGGUAAUGAUUAAUAGGGAUAGUUGGGGGUAUUCGUAUUCAAUUGUCAGAGGUGAAAUUCUUGGAUUUAUGGAAGACGA
This 372-nucleotide ribosomal RNA is filed under the name uncultured eukaryote. Its description in RNAcentral is "SSU rRNA". It matches the Rfam family "Eukaryotic small subunit ribosomal RNA", at positions 567 to 938 of the family's 1831-position model. The record is from RNAcentral.